CAGAAAGCGUCACACAUAAUUACUGAAAGCUUCUAUAAGUAAUCCGGCUUGAAGGCAUAAAAACGAAUUAUAAUAGACAGCCAGCUUCAAUGAGAAUUAAGUUUUCUCAGGUCUCUAUGGUUCUCUCAGAAUGAUUUUUUACACAUAUAAGUCUAUGUGUACAUCCUUAUAUGUCUAUGAUUUUACAC
This is a long non-coding RNA of Chrysoperla carnea, 188 nucleotides long. RefSeq lists it as uncharacterized. Lineage: Eukaryota; Metazoa; Arthropoda; Insecta; Neuroptera; Chrysopidae. The record is from RefSeq and is a predicted model, not a curated record. The transcript has 2 exons.